RNAcentral lists this ribosomal RNA (2223 nucleotides) under Campylobacter jejuni. Its description in RNAcentral is "partial 23S ribosomal RNA". It matches the Rfam family "Bacterial large subunit ribosomal RNA", at positions 715 to 2925 of the family's 2925-position model. Lineage: Bacteria; Pseudomonadati; Campylobacterota; Epsilonproteobacteria; Campylobacterales; Campylobacteraceae. The record is from RNAcentral.
CCGAAACGAAGUGAUCUAUCCAUGAGCAAGUUGAAGCUAGUGUAAGAACUAGUGGAGGACUGAACCCAUAGGCGUUGAAAAGCCCCGGGAUGACUUGUGGAUAGGGGUGAAAGGCCAAUCAAACUUCGUGAUAGCUGGUUCUCUCCGAAAUAUAUUUAGGUAUAGCGUUGUGUCGUAAUAUAAGGGGGUAGAGCACUGAAUGGGCUAGGGCAUACACCAAUGUACCAAACCCUAUCAAACUCCGAAUACCUUAUAUGUAAUCACAGCAGUCAGGCGGCGAGUGAUAAAAUCCGUCGUCAAGAGGGAAACAACCCAGACUACCAGCUAAGGUCCCUAAAUCUUACUUAAGUGGAAAACGAUGUGAAGUUACUUAAACAACCAGGAGGUUGGCUUAGAAGCAGCCAUCCUUUAAAGAAAGCGUAAUAGCUCACUGGUCUAGUGAUUUUGCGCGGAAAAUAUAACGGGGCUAAAGUAAGUACCGAAGCUGUAGACUUAGUUUACUAAGUGGUAGGAGAGCGUUCUAUUUGCGUCGAAGGUAUACCGGUAAGGAGUGCUGGAGCGAAUAGAAGUGAGCAUGCAGGCAUGAGUAGCGAUAAUUAAUGUGAGAAUCAUUAACGCCGUAAACCCAAGGUUUCCUACGCGAUGCUCGUCAUCGUAGGGUUAGUCGGGUCCUAAGUCGAGUCCGAAAGGGGUAGACGAUGGCAAAUUGGUUAAUAUUCCAAUACCAACAUUAGUGUGCGAUGGAAGGACGCUUAGGGCUAAGGGGGCUAGCGGAUGGAAGUGCUAGUCUAAGGUCGUAGGAGGUUAUACAGGAAAAUCCGUAUAACAAUACUCCGAGAACUGAAAGGCUUUUUGAAGUCUUCGGAUGGAUAGAAGAACCCCUGAUGCCGUCGAGCCAAGAAAAGUUUCUAAGUUUAGCUAAUGUUGCCCGUACCGUAAACCGACACAGGUGGGUGGGAUGAGUAUUCUAAGGCGCGUGGAAGAACUCUCUUUAAGGAACUCUGCAAAAUAGCACCGUAUCUUCGGUAUAAGGUGUGGUUAGCUUUGUAUUAGGAUUUACUCCGAAAGCGAAGAAACUUACAACAAAGAGUCCCUCCCGACUGUUUACCAAAAACACAGCACUCUGCUAACUCGUAAGAGGAUGUAUAGGGUGUGACGCCUGCCCGGUGCUCGAAGGUUAAUUGAUGGGGUUAGCAUUAGCGAAGCUCUUGAUCGAAGCCCGAGUAAACGGCGGCCGUAACUAUAACGGUCCUAAGGUAGCGAAAUUCCUUGUCGGUUAAAUACCGACCUGCAUGAAUGGCGUAACGAGAUGGGAGCUGUCUCAAAGAGGGAUCCAGUGAAAUUGUAGUGGAGGUGAAAAUUCCUCCUACCCGCGGCAAGACGGAAAGACCCCGUGGACCUUUACUACAGCUUGACACUGCUACUUGGAUAAGAAUGUGCAGGAUAGGUGGGAGGCUUUGAGUAUAUGACGCCAGUUGUAUAUGAGCCAUUGUUGAGAUACCACUCUUUCUUAUUUGGGUAGCUAACCAGCUUGAGUUAUCCUCAAGUGGGACAAUGUCUGGUGGGUAGUUUGACUGGGGCGGUCGCCUCCCAAAUAAUAACGGAGGCUUACAAAGGUUGGCUCAGAACGGUUGGAAAUCGUUCGUAGAGUAUAAAGGUAUAAGCCAGCUUAACUGCAAGACAUACAAGUCAAGCAGAGACGAAAGUCGGUCUUAGUGAUCCGGUGGUUCUGUGUGGAAGGGCCAUCGCUCAAAGGAUAAAAGGUACCCCGGGGAUAACAGGCUGAUCUCCCCCAAGAGCUCACAUCGACGGGGAGGUUUGGCACCUCGAUGUCGGCUCAUCGCAUCCUGGGGCUGGAGCAGGUCCCAAGGGUAUGGCUGUUCGCCAUUUAAAGCGGUACGCGAGCUGGGUUCAGAACGUCGUGAGACAGUUCGGUCCCUAUCUGCCGUGGGCGUAAGAAGAUUGAAGAGAUUUGACCCUAGUACGAGAGGACCGGGUUGAACAAACCACUGGUGUAGCUGUUGUUCUGCCAAGAGCAUCGCAGCGUAGCUAAGUUUGGAAAGGAUAAACGCUGAAAGCAUCUAAGCGUGAAGCCAACUCUAAGAUGAAUCUUCUCUAAGCUCUCUAGAAGACUACUAGUUUGAUAGGCUGGGUGUGUAAUGGAUGAAAGUCCUUUAGCUGACCAGUACUAAUAGAGCGUUUGGCUUAUCUUUAAUAAAGCAU